GUCGAGAAUCUUUCACAAUGGGGGCAACCCUGAUGGAGCGACGCCGCGUGGAGGAUAAGGUCUUCGGAUUGUAAACUCCUGUCAUGCGUGAACAAGGUUGCUUGGAUAAUACCUGAGCAAAUUGAUGGUAGCGCAAGAGGAAGAGACGGCUAACUCUGUGCCAGCAGCCGCGGUAAUACAGAGGUCUCAAGCGUUGUUCGGAAUCACUGGGCGUAAAGGGUGCGUAGGUGGCGUGGCAAGUCAGAUGUGAAAGCCCGGGGCUCAACCUCGGAACUGCAUCCGAUACUGCCAUGCUAUAGUACUGGAGGGGUGACUAGAAUUCUCGGUGUAGCAGUGAAAUGCGUAGAUAUCGAGAGGAAUACCAAAGGCGUAGGCAGGUCACUGGACAGUUACUGACACUGAGGCACGAAGGCCAGGGGAGCGAACGGGAUUAGAAACCCGUGUAGUCC
RNAcentral lists this ribosomal RNA (449 nucleotides) under uncultured bacterium. RNAcentral describes it as "partial 16S ribosomal RNA". It matches the Rfam family "Bacterial small subunit ribosomal RNA", at positions 354 to 796 of the family's 1533-position model. The record is from RNAcentral.